GCUGGGCGCGGUGGCGCACACCUGUAAUCCCAGCAGCUCGGGAGGCUGAGGCAGGAGGAUCCUGAGUUCAAAGUCAGCCUAAGCAACAGGGAGGCACUCAGCAACUCAAUGAGACCUUGUCUCUA
Molecule: small RNA, 125 nt
Filed under: Marmota monax (woodchuck)
Lineage: Eukaryota; Metazoa; Chordata; Mammalia; Rodentia; Sciuridae
Source: RNAcentral